RNAcentral lists this transfer RNA (82 nucleotides) under Culex quinquefasciatus (southern house mosquito). Its description in RNAcentral is "tRNA-Thr". The record is from RNAcentral. Lineage: Eukaryota; Metazoa; Arthropoda; Insecta; Diptera; Culicidae.
GGACAGUGUCCUUGUGGUUUAUGGAUGGCCCACUGUCUGCUUUGUAAGCGGAUGAUCAGGGGUUCGAUUCCCAUCUGCACCA